AUUCGGGGAUGCAGCAUACUUGGAGGCAGAUUUUUAAUAAUCAUUCGAUCUAGUGCACAAAUUGACUAUGAGUAAUUCAUCUUAAAACCAAAGUCUUUUUUACUGGCUCACUGUUCCUACCUGGAACACCCCAUCUUUGCUUCUGUGAUGCCUUUUCAUUCCUCUCCUUCCCAAUGCAAUCUACUCUAGGUGACACGAUGGCCUCUACUCCCUUGGGACUUGGACACCAGCCAUGUUGCCAUGUUGAUUCUAGUCUGUCAAGUGGGCCAAGACGGCUGCAGCUUCCUUGAUCUAGGGCUGUGUUGGACGGUUAGCAUAGGGGGAACUCGUGAAGGACUCCAAGACUACAGCUUUCUGAGGCCCAGCCUCCUGAAAUGGAAAAUACCAACAAUGGAAAACACCAGGAUUCUGUAUUUAACAAAAUCACCGCAGGUUGCCUGGUGCUGGUUUAGAAACCAUGGCUUAGGUGGAACCCCUCCAAGAGCACGGAGCAGGAGGCACGCUCCGCAGCUGCUGAGGAGACAGAUGUGCACUGUAAAUAAAUGGGCCACGGAGGAGAAAAGCGCCCCCCUUCAGAGCUGUUGAGCUGGGGAGAGGUGCUGGGAAAGCCUGGAGUCUGUUUUUGCCAGUAAGUCCUUGAGUUUAGGUAUGGAAGCUGGAAAAAGCCCCGACUGGAGCAGGCUCAGCAGAGUCAGCUGUGUGACCUUGGGCAAGCCGUGCCCCAUCUCCUGGCCUCAGUUUCCCAUCUGUAAAAUGGGAGUGCAGGCUGGUUGAUCUCUAAGGUGUUUCUACGACACCUGGGCACUUACCUACCAUCCUUUUUGAUGGGGACGUGCUGCAAUUCUAAGUGUGCUCCUUUAUCUUAAUGUUUUCAUAGAAUGCUUUACAGACCCAGUGCUUGUCGCAUGGAACCUGUUCUAGUCACAUCAUUCCCCCUCCCGCCCUCAAGCUGUGUGACUGCCCACAGCACUCAGAGCAUUCCGAGAAGAUUCUUGGGCUGGAAAAGCAACUUCCAAGAAGGUGAGAUCUAGGGAAGAGAGAAGUCUAGAUGGCAGAGGCUUGCGGAAGGAGAGGUGGUUUGGUUUGUCUCCUACGGGACAUCUCUGUUCCAGGUGAGGGUAAUUCUACCUGCUGCCCGCUACUGCGGAAGGUGACCAGAGAAGACUCCUUCGCUGGCAAAGACAGAAGGUUUUCCAGUGACCGUGCUCACCUGGCCCUGGGUCAUGGCUGCUGUUGGCAGGGGAGGCAGGUAACGGCCAUCACAGCUGGCACCGGCGUGGGCUGCUCAGGCCCCAGGCAGGCCCGGGACAGGAGGCCCAGCAAGGCAAGGGUGCAGGAGAAGCAGCAGCAUCUCAUGGGCUGGAAGUGAUCAAGUGUUCACCACGACUGGAAUGGAACCAAAAGAAAACAGUUUCAGUAAAAGAGCCAAUGCUGAGGAACCAAGAAAAGGUUUUACUGGGCUGUUGUUGUUAGGGUCAAUUCAAUUCAGUGGAGGGAUGGUUACUGAGUACCUCCUACGAGUCAGAAACUGAGCCCAGCUUUAGGAAUUCAAAGAUAAACAGGGCACGGUCCGUUCUUUAGGUGUUCAUAAUCUGGUAAAGACGUUCUCCGGAGGAUGGCAUAUCCCGUGUCUUUCCAGCGGGGACAGCACAGCGUGGGGCCGGGGGAGCUUUACAGGGUCUCGGGCAGCAGGAGAGGAAGGUAGAGAAGGUGACGUGAGUAGGACUUUGCUAGGAGAAGAAGGGAGUGGACAGGCCUUCCCAGCAGAAGAGACACAAUUAGCAAAGACAAGGAGGUGUGUAGAAAUGUGGUGUCUUUGGGAACCGAGAGGAGGUUGGGGGCAUGAAGGGUAAUAGGUACACAGCGGGGAGAGGGGGUCAGAGGGGUACAGUUUCAGAUUUCAGACCUCGCUGGGGAGCGAGCUGGGCUUAGAGUGUGUGUGUGGGUGUGUAUGUGUGUGUGUGUGUGUGUAAGAGCUUUAGCACAUGGAGUCUCUUGUUAAAUACUCACAUUUGUGUUUGAGAAAUACCAUCCUAGAGAAAACACAGAGGACGAGUGGGCAGAGGGCAGGAACGGAGCUGGGAUCAUAUUAGGAAGUUAGCGGGGGGAAGGGAGGUGGUCGAAAGGCCAGGUCACCCGUGUCCGGAUGUGGCCAGUUGUGAAAGGGAGGUGCGAAAAAUCAUUCUUGGUUUUCUGGCUGGAUCAAGGGACUCCAGAGCUGCCGCCCCCAACCCCGCCAGCCCCCGACCCCUCACCCUUCACCCCCUCCCGCCCCCUCCUCUAAGUCUGUAUCCGUUGGGCCGGGGGCACCUGCUCUCUGCUUCCCCAACACGCAGGCCAGAUGACUUGGAAACAGAUGACUUGAAGGAACAGAGAGUUCGGAGAGGCGCCCAUCAGAGGAAAGUACUUAAAAAUAAACUUGGGCAAAACUCUUUUCAGAACUGUGUAUUAUUUAGGACUAUUCAUCUGGAAAACAAGUAAGUGCAUAUGUAUAAAGGGGACCGUUACCCACGUACUGAAAUGUACGCCGAAACUCUGCGACAGAUCCCAGAGCACACCUCGCUGCGACCAUCCUGCCGGGCUAGAAAUGUGGGCAACGCUGCCAGCACCCCGGAAGGAAGCCCCUUCCCGUUCAGACCCCCCUUCCCUCUGCCCCCCCCCCCCCCCCCCCCCAGGGGCCCCNNNNNNNNNNNNNNNNNNNNCAGAUGCCAACCUGUAACUCGCAGAAACAACCCCAGGAGAACCACAUCCUCACGAAAGAACCUGAAAAGACACCGCGCAUUUGGAAAUUGCGUCAAUUAAAAAAAAAAAAGUAACAAAAGUCCAUCUUCCUCAUUUUCCU
Mustela putorius furo (domestic ferret) is the source of this 2842-nucleotide long non-coding RNA. Lineage: Eukaryota; Metazoa; Chordata; Mammalia; Carnivora; Mustelidae. The record is from Ensembl.